GCCUUCGCGGUGUAACGGUAACACACUCGGUUCCUACUCGAGAGGUCCAGGUUCGAGCCCUGGCGAAGGCA
RNAcentral lists this transfer RNA (71 nucleotides) under Stegodyphus mimosarum. It matches the Rfam family "tRNA". Rfam says of the family: Transfer RNA (tRNA) molecules are approximately 80 nucleotides in length. The record is from Rfam by way of RNAcentral. Lineage: Eukaryota; Metazoa; Arthropoda; Arachnida; Araneae; Eresidae.